RNAcentral lists this unclassified non-coding RNA (1809 nucleotides) under Caenorhabditis elegans. Its description in RNAcentral is "Non-coding transcript of protein-coding gene rbm-39". The record is from RNAcentral. Lineage: Eukaryota; Metazoa; Nematoda; Chromadorea; Rhabditida; Rhabditidae.
AUGACCGACGGAUCGAUGGACAUCGACGCGAUGCUCGAGGGAGGCCUUGAGAUGGCGAAAAACGACAGAUCACAAAGUCGUCAAAGAUCGCCGGCAAGAUCGAAUCGUUCGAGACCGUCGAGAGUCCCCAUUCAAUCAGAUGUCGACUGAAAUUCGCCGAAAAUCGCCGAAAAACUUGGAUCCCGAUCAAAAGACAGGAAAAGCUCGUCACGCCGUUCCAGAAGCCGUAGCCGUGAUCGACGAGGUGAUCGAGGUGAUCGUCGACGAUCGAGGAGCCGGAGCAAGGAUCGUCGCACCACUCGGAGACGCUCACCGAGCCGUGAGCGAAGACGAAGCCGUAGCAGAGAUCGUGGAGCACCGAGAAGACGCUCGAGAACCCGAUCUCGUGACCGUCGACGCUCUCCACCACGUCGUCGUGAUCGCCGGACUCCGCCGAGACGUUCACCAGGAAGAAGAAGCCCGCCACGAAGCCGUCUUCCAGGACCCGAACGCCGUGACGUCAUGCCAUUCAAUCCACGUCACUCGCCGCCUAAAAACGCGAAACUGGAAUUAACAGCAGAAGAAAGAGAUCAACGGACCCUUCUAAUCAUGCAAAUUGCCCGUGACACCCGUCCACGUGACCUCGAAGAAUUCUUUUCAGCCGUCGGAGCUGUUCGUGACGUCAGAAUUAUAACCGAUUCGCGGACUGGUAGAUCAAAAGGAAUUUGCUAUGUGGAAUUUUGGGAUGAAGAAUCGGUUCCACUUGGAUUGGCACUAAAUGGACAACGUUUAAUGGGCGCUCCAUUGCAAAUUCAGAGAACUUGCGCUGAACGAAACCGCGCCGCGAAUAGUUCGGUGGCGUCUACGUUGGGAUUUGUUGCACCCGGGAAUAAGGGUCCUACGCAUGUUUUGGUGGAGAAUUUGCACCCGAAAAUCGAUGAAAAAAUGAUUAGAGACAUUUUUGAGUCGUUUGGACGAAUUGAGAAGAUUGAUUUGGAGGUUGAUAGUAAUCGAGAGAAUCGAGGAUUCGCUACGAUUACGUUCCGAAACGCCGACGACGCCCAAAAAUCUUGCGAGCAACUGAACAAUUUCGAGCUCGCCGGCCGAUGCAUCCGUCUCUCCAUCAAACAAGAAUCCCAAGCUCCAGCAGUAAAGAAAGAAGAAGCUUCAAUUCAUCAGAGAUCCCUAGACGAUGUAGGCGAUCGUCAAGGCUUCUCCCUAGGCGCAGGCGGCCGACAACAGCUCAUGGCAAAGUUGGCUCAAGGCACCGGCUCAGGAAUGGAGCUAACAGCGUCGGCUCAGAUGGCUGCUCAACACGCUGGACACUCACAAAUUCCAUCAAUUGCUACACAGUGUUUCCUUUUAUCAAAUAUGUUUGAUCCGUCGAAAGAGACUGAACCAGCAUGGGAUCAUGAUAUUCGAGAAGAUGUGAUUGAGCAGUGUCUGGCUCACGGUGGAGCACUUCAUGUAUUUGUGGAUAAAGGCUCAGAGCAAGGAAAUGUCUAUGUAAAGUGUCCAUCGAUUGUGAUUGCACAUCAGGCAGUUAGUGCGCUCCACGGAAGAUGGUUCAGUGGAAAAGUUAUCACUGCUAACUAUGUACCUGUUAAUUCAUAUCAUGACUUGUUCCCGGAUGCAGUACAUGCUAGAAUUGUGCUCACGACGCGUGGAGCUGCUCCGGUGGUUCCUAUUGUACCUAUGGUUCCAGUUGUGCCACCUCAAGGAAUCGCAAAUGGUUACGGAGCAUAUGGAAUGAUGGCUCCGGCUCACGGAGCACCACCGCCACCACCACCACAACAACAAGGACAAUAUGGUGGAUAUGGCAGAUAUUAG